RNAcentral lists this unclassified non-coding RNA (209 nucleotides) under Hevea brasiliensis (rubber tree). Lineage: Eukaryota; Viridiplantae; Streptophyta; Magnoliopsida; Malpighiales; Euphorbiaceae. The record is from RNAcentral.
AAUUUUACAAAAUUUUGUGGAAUUUUUUUUGAACCAAACUUACUCUUAGGGAGAUUUGGAUAUGGAUAAGCCAUUAUGUUUUGCAUAUGUAUACACUCAAAGAGAGAGAGAUGGCUAUUACUGAUAAUUCAUUAUCAGAUUUAACUGGUGAUUUUGAUUGGAACAAAAUGUUUUAGCUAUUGAAAACUAAUGGGCUUUUUUACUUUCAA